Molecule: long non-coding RNA, 21874 nt
Filed under: Salvia miltiorrhiza (redroot sage)
Lineage: Eukaryota; Viridiplantae; Streptophyta; Magnoliopsida; Lamiales; Lamiaceae
Description: long non-coding RNA (SMIL_LNC007885)
Source: RNAcentral
AAAAACAAAACAAAAACAAAACAAAACAAAAGAAAAGAAAAAAACAAACAAACAAAUUCAACUAUGCCGUUCGAAUAAUAACUAUUUCCUUUUCUGAGGAAAUAAUUCGAAUCAUUAUUUCCUUAGAAAGAACAUUGCGUGAUGGAAAUAUUAGGCAUAUCGAAGGAAAGAAUCCGUGUGGUGUGGCGGCAUGUAUAUAUUAGCCCAACAAAAUUCGGCCAAGCCCAACAAUAUUACAUGGGUCGACGUGGACAACCUCGAGUUUUCUUUUAAAUUAUAUUGUUCUUUUCUUACUAAAUUUAGAAUGAUUUUGAACUUAGAAUUAUGAAAUGAUUCACGCCAGAGAAUGAAAACGAAUUUAUUUCAAUUCCAACAAAAUAAUUUACAAAAACUUUUGUGAAUAUGUAAGUGAUUUAAAUUCUUAUGCAUUAGAUAUAUAUUUAAAUUAAGUAUUUGAGCAUAUACGACAGGGCUGUCUAUUUAGAAAAACUGAAAUAAAUAUGACAAAUUUAUUUAUUGAUUCACAAAGUUUUUAAUCGUCGAGUCAUCUUACACACUUUUUGCAAACACUGACUGCUGAGUUCGGUAAGAAUCGAACUCAAAAACAAGAAGAAGAUUGGAAAGUUUGAAGGAGAAGAAAGAAUUACUACUUUUGUGUUUAUUUUUGAACGAGGAAUAACUAAUAUCUUUACACUUGAAUAUUUUUCUCUAUUUAUAGGCUACUUCCUAAACCUAACUAAACCCUAAUAUCAAGUGCCCAUUAAUGUUGUAAGGUCCUUGGCCCAAAUCCCGUUACAAUCUGUCAGAUGAAAUCCCGUGGGGAAAACACCCAAAAAGAAAAAAGAGUAUUUAAUCUAGAUAAAAUAAUUAAAAAUACAUAUAUCUUUUAACUUCUAUGUCUGACAAUUGCAUCCUCAGAUUUGUUUUCUUUUAAUUCUUUAUCUUUGAAUUGUGUCCUCAGAUUUGUUUUCUUUCUCAUUGCAGCCCUGCCAGACUCGGAUUUAUAGUUACUUCAAAUCUGUCCAAUGUGACUUUUAAACCUGCGACAAGAUCAAAAUAAUACGAAUAUAAUAGCUUGAUUUUAGUUGUGCAUAUCUUAUUAUUCAGACCUUUCUUUAGAAUAACAGGAAUCCUCAAUUUCAUCAUCAUCAUCACUUACCAUCACCAAUACUUUACUCACUUACUCUUCUUACACAAAAGAAAGAAACUGUGUACAUAAGGGUCAUUAGACCAUCUCCAACCAUUUACACUAAAUCCAAACCCAUUUUACAGUAUAUGUCACUUCCAACAGUAAUUCUUCUCCAAUUAUUUACACCAAAUUCAAACCCAAAAGAAUAUUCUUUAAAUAUUCUCUUUCCACUUACUUUUUAUACUUCUUCAAUCAUACCUAUAUAUUUCUUUCAAAUUAUACAUUUGCCCCAAUUUUUUAAUUAAUAAUUUCAUAUUAAAAUAAAUACUAUACAUAAAUUAAUUAAUUAUUUAUUAUUAUUAUUAUUAUUAUUAAAUAAGCAAAAAAAUACUAAACUUUAUUAAUAUUGUUUUAAAUAUUCUUAUAUUAUACAUUUUAAUAUGUCAUGUAAUUANGUUGAUGUUCGGACGAAAUUUGUUACCUUUAGCAAGUAGUAUUGGAUAUCAAUUUAUAUGAUGAUGGAGCCAGACCUUCAAAGAUAAGGGGCGGCAUAUCUAUAUAAUAUAUAAAAGAGGAAUUUUCUCUCUCCAUUUUUUACCUCCAUUUUUCUCUCUCUUCUUCCAUCAUUUUUUUAAUUAUAUUUUUUUUUAUAAUUUUAAUUCUUUUCUAAAUAUUGUCAAAUUUGAUUUAUAACAAAAUAUUCAAUGUGCAUCGUAAGCUUAAAGUCGUUAGAAGAUCUUUAAUGGUAUAAAAAUUAUCAAAAAUGAAUUUAAAACGAAUAAGUUACUAAAAUUUUAAAAUAUUUUAUUUCUUUUUUCUUUGUUAAAAUUUUACAACUUUUUAUUUAUGUUUGUGUAUGAAAAUAUUUAUUUAUUUAUUAUUAUGUGAAAUACUCUAUGAUAAUAACGUGUAAUUAAUUUUAUUAUCAAAUAAUUUAUUAACUAUUAUUAUUAUUAUUAUUAUUAUUAUUAUUAUUAUUAUUAUUAUUAUUAUUAUUAUUAUUAUUAUUAUUAUUAUUAUUAAAUAAGAAAAAGAUACUACAAUUUAUAGAACUCAAUAUUCACCAAGACGAGAGGUUAGUUUGCAAUUUAUAGAACUCAAUAAAGUAAUUUGGUGUAGUGAAUAGUGCAACACCAAAUUUGGUGUAAUACUAUUGAUAUGGUGGCCCCAAACCUAUUUUGGAUUUAAGUUUAGAGUACCAUUAGAGAGAUUUUGGUACACCAAAAUGAGAUUUGGUGUAUAUUGAAGUGUCCCACAUUGGAUUGGAGAUAGUGACAUGAGCCACUUUAUAUGGUGAGGCAACCCUCUCCCUUAUAAGGCCUUUUAAGGGAGGAAUGAGCCCAAUAUCCAUUUCUAACAUGGUAUCAGAGUCAACCCAAUCCAAUGAUGGCCCCCCAAUAUCGUUGUCAACAGAUGACGUUUGGGAUAGUCCACGCUGCGCGUGCGGGGGGUGUAUAGUGGCAUGAGCCACUUUAUAUGGUGAGACAAACUUUGAUAUACCAACCAACUUCAUCUCUUCCACCUUACACCACUCAUCCAACAAAUACUCGCACUAUAAAGUUCACAAAAGAAAUGUAUCCAUCAAGGUUUUACACUUAAGCUCAUACAAGUUCAUCUUUUAUCGUCUUAUUCUUUUAGCAUGAGCUCAGUAUCCAUUAUUUCAUCUCAUUCUGAAACUUCCAACUACACCACACAAAGAAAAACACAUACGCAUACAUUCAUCUCACUAUAUGAACUUUGUAACUCUUAUUUAAUAAGUUGUUAAUGAUUUACAAAUGAGAACGAAUAGACUUGAGUUUCGAACUUGUGUGUGUCUAUGUUGUGGGAGAGGGUCUGGCUGCAAGUGGCAGCGACGAUUCAUCGCUGUCGGUCCGUCCGUCUGAGGAAGGGCAGAGACGACGUCAGCGGUGGCUACUGCUGCCUUCUGACUUUAAAGCAAGAAAAGGAGGGAGAGAGAAAUGAGGGGGAAAUUUGAAAGCUGGAAUCGGCGGCGGUGUCUUGGGCUGCCGUCCGACUGAGCGAAGGGAAGAGGGAGACUGGGGACCUAAGGCUCAGUGGCGGAAGCCUUCUGGCCGUGCGUUCGCCGAAAAUCGAAGGGGGAUAGGAAGUGAAGUGUAGAAUUGGGGCCCGGCGGCUCUGCUGCCGUUCCGACCAGAACGGGAGAGAGGAGAUGCAAGGGUAGACAGGGAGGCGGCAGUCGCGGCCUUGCUGCGAUCGUCGGAGAUGAGGGAGGAGCCGGCGGUGUUUUAGAGUGGCGUCGUGGGGGUGAGGUUUGGGCGAGAGAUAACAAAGAGACGAGGGGAGCGGCGCUCAGGCGCGGCUUCGUCGGAGAGGGAAUCGCAUCGACGAAGCCCUAGCUGAUCGAUUUCAGCGAAGAGGAAGAGAGAUGGGUGAGCGAGCAUGAGUCUGAUUUUCAAAGAGAAAGAUUAGCGUAGGUUUUGGAAGAAAAGGAGAAAACGGAAAAUGGUUGCUUGUUGGGACCUUGCUUUUUUCUUUGGAACACCAUUUGUGCGAAGUAUGAUGAACACGAUAUAUUUAAAUAAAUAAAUAUAAAUAUUAAUAAAAUUAAAAUAUAAAUUUUUAAUUUUGUAUAAAGCGUAAUGAUAAUUAUUUUUAUUAAAUAAAUUUAAAAAUUAAUUUGUGAUAAAAUAUUGUAUUAUACAUUAUUAUUAUAAAGUAAUACGUAUCAUAAUAAAUAAAUAUUUUCAUAUAAAAAUAUAAAUAAAGAGUUACUCUGUAAAAUUAUAAUGAAAAAAAAAAUAUUUUAAAAUUUUCAUAAUUUAUUCAUUUUAAAUUUAUUUUUAAUUAUUUUUAUACUAUAUUAAAUUUAAUUUCUAUAUUGAAUAUUUUUUUAUGAAUCAAAUUUGACAAUAUGUAGAAAAGAAUUAAAAUAUAAAAAAAAACAAAAAUAAAAAAUUAGAGAAAAAAUUGGUGGAAUAAGAGACAGAGAAAAAAGUGGGAAAAUUGGAGGGAAAAAACUCCUCUUUUAUACUCCCUCCAUCCCGUUAAUCAUGUCCCAUUUCUUUUCGGCACGGGUAUUAAGGAGAGUUGUAUUAGGAAAAAAGUUGUAUGGCCCACAUAUGUUAAUUAAGUUUAAGAAUGGUUAACAGUCUCCUCUUCAAUUUGUUGCUACCGCCGGUGGCACGCCGCCAAAACAGUGAACAUUGUUGCUAUCAUCGGUGGAAGGGGCAGCAAAUUUUUCUUCAACAAAAUUUCUGCAAAUUUUUGGAAAACUUUCAGCAAAUUUCAACAAUGAAUGACCUACUCACCUCAUUUGUUGAGUUAACUACAACAUCCACCUCAAGAUUCCACGGGUUGCCACGAUCCAUGGGAAACUUAGAUGCCAUUCCAUUUCCACUAUUUUCUCCAUCAGAUGUUGUGGUCAAUGGGUCUGGAAAAUGCACGAAUGCAAAAUUCACCCAACUACAAAACAAAAUCAAGAGCACAAAGCAGAAAUAGCCACAUUAAUUAUAUGUAUCAAAUACAUACAAUAAACCCUAGAACGCAGACAUACUCCAUAACUUGCAACGAAGAGCAAAGCUAAGAAAAAUUCAGCACCAUUUUCACAUUUUGAGGUGGAUGAAUAGUCCCCGUUAUAUAGAUUAAGCCUACUUUUAUAGAUUUGGGCCUGCUUUAAUAAGAUGCGUGAAUAGUCCUUAUUUUACUCUUUAUAGCCAUUAUCUAAAAUAAUAAUUUAAAUUUUCCCCUGUAUUUAAAUAUGGAGACUAUAAAAAGUAAAAUAAGGGUUAUGAAUAGAAUCACCCUAAUAAGACUUGGUUGCAUUUGUUUAAUUAAAGAAGCGCCUUUAAUUAAUUUAUUUUAAUUGAAUCUUUACAGAUUUAAUUAACUUGGCUAAGUGGUGUAAUUGUCUAAUUAAUUAAUUAGACUCUUAAUUUGGUUUAAAUAAUAAUUCGAAGAAUGAUUGCAUAAUAACGAUUAUUAUUAUGAUGAGCAUAUAUUAAGCGUAAUUACUUAUUAUAUGAGUUGAUCGUGAAAUAAAUUUGCAUUAUAUAUUUUACAAAUAAAAAUUAACGCUUAUGAUUUAAAUUGGUUUUCAUAAAUCCAAUUAUAUAAAAGUCGAGGAAGGAUAUUAUUGGUGUCCUUAGCCAAGAAUUUUGGUUUUCAAUAUAUAUACAUUAAAUUUUGAAAACCCGGUGUGAUGAAUCAUGAAUGUUUAGCAUACCCACCAAGGCAUACGGUUAGCAUCACAAGACCUAUUAAGAAUAAAUUUCUUGAGGUUUUGUGGACUAAGAGGAUUAGCGAUGUUUUUCCAAGACAAGUUUCUAUGAUUAUAUUAUUCAGACUUUGCCUAACCACGUGGGCUUACUCUACAAAAGUAAUAUUGGGUUAUAUAUUGAGUUAUAUAUACUCUAAAUGUUCAAUGAAAUACAAAUUGUUUAUCUAAUAAAAUAUUUUGUGCACUCUGUUCUAUUUAAAGCUCGCAACAAUGAAUCAUUCGAGGUUCUCUUAUGACCUAACACGUUGUCUGAGAAUUAUGUAUACUCGUUAGUUAACUCUGUGGGUUGAUCUCCAUCGGGCACUAACUAAGAGGUGUUAUAAGGGUGCUCGACAAGAUGUGUUCCGUAGCGUCCCGUGGUCAAUUUAAAUUUUUCUGUGUUACGCCCUCAGUUCAAGUAUCAGGGGAGUAAGAGAUUCGUCGGUGGCUAAAAGGUCUGGGAUCACAACGAGUAACGUAAUUGAGUGUGACAAUUGCGCCAAAUAAAAUAAAAUGAUUUUGCAUGCUUAGAAGAACUUUUAUUUAAAACCUUCUAAGUCAUGUGUUUAAAUGAUUGGAGAAACUAUCUUUACGAAAAUAUGAAAUGUUUUAGGAACAUUUACGUAUCUUUAAUGAAAUUGAAGAUAGAAUUACCUGUAUAGACAUGGGGAAUUAAGGGUGAGCAUCGGUUCGGUUCAGUGCAAAACUGAACCAAAAACCUAAAAUUGAAAACCGAACCGAUGCUCAAAUUGGGCACCGAACCGCACCAAUCAUAGUCCCAAAAUCGAACUAGAAAAACCGUCGGUUUCGGUUCGGUUCACCGAACCAACCACGAUUUGGGCUGCCACCACAAAUUGGGUUGCCGGAAACUGUUCAAUGCCGUCGCCGCUGGGUUAGGCGCAGGCAGAUGGACGCGACGCUGGAGGACUGCGGACGCCAGAAGAUGGGCGCGCCGCUGGAGGUCGAAAGAGCCGAAGAGGGACACGAUGCUGGAGGCAGGGAGAGACGCGCCUAGCGGACGGUGAUGGGCGGACGGUGCCUGGUGGACGGCGCCGCUGGAGGCCGGAAGUCAAAGCAAAGACAAAUCUGCUCAAGUUACUAAGCAUCCACCACCUCAAUUUCUUCACGUUCCUUCUUUCAGAAAUUAAUUCAUUUAUUCAAUUAUACUAUGUAAUCCAAAUUAAUUAAUAUUACAGAGGAUGAGAGUGGCAAGCAUCAAGCAGGAAGACGAAUAUGUAUAAUAAAGCAUCCAAUUAAAUUCAUGGAAAUGAGAAACACAGACGGUGCCUGGUGGACGGCACCGCUGGAGGCCGGAAGAGCCGAAGAGGCGAAGGCGAUGGGCGGACGGCGCCGGUAGGGAGGAGGAAGACGUGCGAAAUGGAGGAGGAGGAGAAUUGAGAAUUCUGAUUUCUGAAAUCAGUGAUGCGGCGCAGCAGAUGUUAGGAAUAGGAUUUAGGGUUUUUUCUUUACAAAGUUAAAUAUCUAUUGUAAAAUAUAAAUAUUUAAUAUAAUAUUAAUAUUAGUCGGUUCGGUUCGGUGCAAAACCGAACCAAAAACACAGCACCGAAACCGAACCAAAAAUUUUCGGUUUUCAUCUUUAGGAACCGAACCGAACCGACCACCAGUAGAAUUAGCACCAAACCGCACCAACAGGGUUCGGUUCGGUUCGGUUUUGACUGUCCGUUCGGUUUUUGCUCACCCCUAUGGGGAAUGAUGAGAAUGGUGAAUUUUACCAAAGGUCUUUCAGUAUCGCGUGCGAGCUUCCUAGAUGGUGGGAUUCGCUAGUUGAUCGUACAAGCUCCACGGGUUCCCGCACACGUCCUGCUCAAGGCAUCCCGAAUGAUCCUUAAGAACUUUUCGGUAUGCUAACCUUAGGUCAUCCUGGUACUUUUGCAUGGAUGUCCUUUAUUACGUCUAUAUCAUUUAAGAGGUUAUUUAUUACGUCCUUAAGUAUUCCAUGGUUUUCCCUAUAGAUAUUUUUUUCUCGAAGGGAUCCUGUCGAAUUGGAGGCCAAUGGCAGGAUUCUUGGGAUGGUCAACAUAUUUCAUGUGGUCAACUUCGUAGAAUAGUUAUUAGUCCGCAUCAAUUAUCAAUUAUAAUGAAUAAAAUAAAAAUUAUGUACUCCCUCCGUCCCAAAAUAACUUCAUCCUUUUUCAUUUUGGGACGUCCCCCAAAUAACUUCCUCUUUCUUUGUUUCCAUUUUUGGACAACUAUCCACCACUAAUAAUACUUUAUUUAUUCUUACUUUUCAUUUUUUCACCACUCCCAAUACUAAUUAUAACACAUUUUCACAACUUUCAAUAAUAAUUAUAACAUUUUUUCUUCACUAUCAAUACACUGUACAACUUUUCCUUAAAACCCGCGUCGUCCCCAAAAAGGAAGCUAUUUAUGGGACGGAGGGAGUAUAAAAUUACUCAUUAUUUUCAUGAUUCAUAUCCACAUGCAAAGUUCAAAGCGGGAAUUCAGCUCUAUUCAUAAGGACACACCUUAAUUAGCUAUAUGCAUAAUUAGCUAUAUAUAUGUGUGUGUUAUGUACUAAAGAUUAACAAUCAUUAUUUUUCGCUUAAUUUUCUGUUUGAACACAAACAACAUCACGAACGAUAACGUCAUUAAUGUAAGUUGGGGGUGGACCAAAAUACCAAAAAAUCGGUAUACCGUACUUAUCGUAUUGAAAAAAUAUCGAAAAUAUCGGAUUUUUGGUAUAUUGUAAAUUUCGGUACGACAUGGUACCGUACUGAAAAAUUUUGGUACGAUAACGGUAUCAAUUUUUCUCAUACCGCAGUAUACCGUUAUAUACCGAUACCGCGGUAUAUACCGGAAACGGUAUAUACCAAUUAAUAAAGUAUAUACCGAAACAUAUAAUUGAAAUAAAUUAUAUAUAAAAAAUCAUAAUUAUUAAAGAAUUAACGACAACUUACAAAAUAUAAAUUCAUUAAUAAUUUUGAUAAUUUAGACAUAAAACAACAUACCAAUAAUUUUGGUAUACUGUAAAAUUAUGGUAUACCGAAUUUUGGUACGGUAUACCGCUCUAUCGGUACGAUAUCAACAUAAAAAAGUUCAUAUCGAAAUUUUCGGUAUACCGAUCUUCGAUAUACCGAAGAGUUUGGUACGACAACGAUAUGAAAAAUCUCAUAAGGCAAUUUACAGUACGGUAUACGGUAUGACAAAAAAAAUUNGUUAUAUACCGAUACCGCGGUAUAUAUCGGAAAACGGUAUAUACCAAUUAUAUAUUUCGAUAUAUACCGAACCGGCAUUACCGUAUCGAUUGUAAUAAAUUAAUAUAUAGUAUAUAUAUAAUUAAUAGAUAAUUAAUAUAUAUAUAUAUAUAUUAUAAUUAUUAAAGAAUUAAUGACAACUUAUAAAAUAUAUAUUCAUUAAUAAUUUUGAUAAUUAGAUAUGAAACGACAUACCAAUAAUUUUGGUAUACUAUUAGUAAGAUAUCGGCAUGAAAAAGUUUAUAUCGAAUUUUUUGGUAUACUGAUCUUCGAUAUACCGAAGAGUUUGGUACGACAACGGUAUGAAAAAUCUCAUACCGCAAUUUACGAUACGGUAUGCAGUAUAACAAAAAAAAUUCGACAUAACCAGUCCACCCCUAAGUUGGGUUUCUCUUACCUUUUUCUUUCUUUUAACAUACUUAAGAAAAUAUUAUAUUGUUAAAUUUGAUUAUAUUUGUUUGUCUUUUAUUCUUCAUUUUUUUGGGUUAGUAACUUAGCAUCCAUAAUUUAGAUUCAAAAAGUUCACGAUUUUUAUAUUUUAUUAGAUAUUAAAUACUCCUUUUGUCCCAUGAAUCUUAACACGUUUGGUUUCGGCACGAGAAUUAAGAAGUUGUAGAUUAGUGUUUUAAGUGUGUAGUUAAUAAAGUAUAAAAGUGAUAAAGUAAGAUAGAGAAGGUAAUAAAAGUGAUAAAGUAGAAAAUAAAAUAUAAUAAUUAUUAUAUUAUUUACAAAUGUGUCAAGAUUCGUGGGACGAUCUAAAAAGGAAAACGUGUCAAGAUUCGUGGGACGUGGGAGUAUUGUAUUGAUUGACAUAGUAAAAUGAAGCAACUAGGGGCUUACUUUUAAAUUCUUGUUAAAGCCCCGUAGUAGGGGUGUGCAAACCCAACCCGGACCCGCCGAACCCGCCCGGACCGACGGGUUCGGUCCGGACCGAACCGGCCCACUACAGGUGUUUGGUCCGGGUUGGGUCCUAUUUUGUGGACCGAAACUUUUUCGGGUCGGUCCGAGUCGAACCCGGUCAAAACCCGGCGAACCCGAAACCGACCCGUGCCAUUUUAAAUUUAAUAUUUAAUAUUUAUAUUUAAUAAUUAAUAUUUAUAGUAUUAAUAAGUUAUACUUUUGCUAACCCUAAAAAACUAUUUUUCUGCUGCAACUGCUCUCGGUCUCACACUCUAGCGCCGCUGACCCAUCAUCCACCCUCAAUCUAACCCUAACCCGCCGCCCCGCCAACCGGACCGCCGCGCCCAUGCCCUCACGCCCAGCACCAGCAGGCAGCAGCCAGCAGGCCAGCACCGCUGCGGCGCUGCGACUUGCGGUCUCCCCGCUGCGCGCCCACGCCCAGACCGGACCGACACCUCGGCCUCACUCAAAGCCGCCGCCCCGCUGCCCCGCCUACUGGUCCGACCACGCCUCGGUAAGUUUCGAAUCCCAUGCUCAAUGUUAAAUGUUGAAUGUUGAAUGUUUGUUGUUACUUUAUGGAAGCUGCGGCGCUGCGACUUGUUAAAUGUUAAAUGUUGAAUAUUGAAUGUUGAAUGUUUGUUGUUAGUUUAUGGAAGCUGCUGAAUGCGCUGUUGUUGCUGCUGUUGCUUUAUGGAAAAAAAAUAUUGAAUGCUUUUGUUGCUUUAUGGAAAAAAAUAUUGAAUGUCGAAUAUUGAAUAUUGAAAGUUGCUGAAUCCUAUGUUGAAUGCUGCUGUUGGCAUGUUGCUUUAUGGAAAAAAAUAUUGAAUGUUGUUACUUCAUAAAUAUUAUGCUGUUGUUGCUGCUUCUUAACCGAAGUUACCGAACUGAACUGCUGCUGUAAAUUAAUUGGAUAUUUUUGUUACUUGUAGGUGAUAAGAUGUCGAGAACAGCAACUAAUGUGCCGGUAGAAGCACAAGGUGAAGCUAUUACUCCUCCACCCGAUGACGAGGAUGUUGCAUCAAAAGAAACAAGAACCGGGAAAAAAACUUCUGUGGUUUGGCAGCACUUCACCCGAUAUACGGAUGAAAAUGGAGCAGAAAGGGCUCAUUGCAACUACUGCAAGGCAGAUUACUGUGCAAAUACCUCAAAAAACGGUACGUCUGCUAUGAUGAAACACUUUAGAAAGUGCAAAAAAAAAGCCUCAAGGAAUUGGUCCUAGACAACAACAUUUAUCUUUGCACCCAAUUGUUGAGGGGGAUGAUGAUACUGUUGGUGAGCUUGUGAGUUGGAAAUUUGAUCAAGAAUUGUGUAGGAGAAAGUUAAUUGAGAUGAUAAUUAAGGAUGAAUUGACAUUUUAAGCUAGUUGAAGGUAAAGGGUUUAAGGAAUUUGUAGGACUUUGACAGCCUAAGUUUAAGCUUAUCUCUAGGUGGACAAUCUCAAGGGAUUGUUUUCAGUUAUAUCUUGAUGAAAAACUUAAGCUGCGUAAUUUUUUCGUUGAAAGUGGUCAAAGUGUUUGUAUUACUACAGACACUUGGACCUCUAUUCAACGAUUGAAUUACAUGUGUAUUACUGCUCACUUUAUUGAUAAAGAGUGGAAGUUGAACAAGAGGAUAAUCAAUUUUUGCACAAUAGAGAGGCAUAGGGGUGAGGAUUUGGGUAGGCAACUUGAUGCUUGUUUGCGUGAUUGGGGGAUUGCUAGGGUUUUUGCUGUGGCUGUUGAUAAUGCUUCAUCAAAUGAUACUUGCAUGAGUUUUUUGAAAAACAAGUUAUCUGCGAGGGGUUGUUGUCUAUUGAGGGGUAAAUUCCUACAUAUGCGAUGUGUUGCUCAUAUAAUUGCUUUGGUGGUUUUGGAUGGGUUGAAAGAAAUUGGCAUUUCUGUGAAGAGGAUUAGAGAGGCGGUGAGGUAUGUUAGGCAAUCUCCCUUAAGGUUGGUCAAGUUUAGGGAAUGUUGUGUUGAAGAGAACAUCUCCACUAAGAGUCUUUUAUGCCUAGAUACACCUACUAGAUGGAACUCAACUUAUCUAAUGUUGAGUGUGGCUUGCAAGUUUGAGAAGGCAUUUGAGGCUUAUAGUGUGAAAGAUCCCUAUUUGGCAUCGAUCUUGCUCAUCAUGAUGGUGCUCCAUUGGGUAUUCCAUUGGGUGAGGAUUGGGUUAAUGGGAAGAACAAUGUCUGAGUCUUCUCCUUGCUUUCUAUGAGUUGAUAGUUAGAGUCUCGGGCACAAAUUAUAUUACAUGUAAUGCAUUUGUGCAUGAGAUUACUUUUGUUAGUACUAUGUUGAAUGAUUGGAUGCUAAGUGAUGAUGAAGUAGUCAAAUCCAUGGGUGCUAGAAUGAGAAAGAAGUAUGAUAAGUAUUGGGGAGAUCCGUAUAAAUGAAUCACAUAAUUUUCUCGAGUGUGAUUGUUGAUCCAAGGUACAAGUUUGAAUUUCUUGAUUAUGUACUAGUUCAAGAGUGGGGUGAAGUGCUUGGAAAGAAAGUGGGCAAAGAGGUUUUGGCUAGCUUGCAUGAGUUGUAUGAUGCAUACAAAGAAUUCAUCAACCUGCAACUACCGCAGCCACACAAUCUCAAUCUUCAAAGCAAAAAUGAAUCAUCUCAAAGCUCAAAGAACGAGUCAUGCUUGAGAGAUUCAAAAGGCAAAAGGUUCAAGUUGGAUCAAUCUCUACAAUUGAUGAGUUGGAUGUCUAUUGCAAUGAGCUUGUUGUGUCUACAGAUGAUGAGAGCUUUGAUAUUUUGAUGUGGUGGAAGAUUAACCAACACCGCUUUCCGGUUCUUUGUCAUCUAGCUCGAGAUUUGUUGGCUGUCCCAAUCUCUACAGUGGCCUCGGAAUCGGCUUUUAGCACCGGAGGAAGAGUUCUUGAUCCUUUUAGGAGUUCUUUAUCCGCUACAAUUGUCGAGUCCCUCUUAUGCACUCAAGAUUGGCUAAGAAAGGCAAAAGAAGGAUCAUGAUUGAAGAAACAAUUGAAGACAUACAAAAACAUAGAAGAAGGUAACAUUUUAAAGUAUAUUUCAUAAUUAUAUAUGUAUUACUUAUGUUAUUAGAUGUUUAUUAAUUUUAUAAUUUUAAAUCUUAUUAUGUAGGUUUGAAGAACCUCUCCAUCAAUGGAAGUGAGGAGGGGAGUGUGAGUCAAACUCAAUGGAUGAGUUCUCAAACUCAACAAAGUCAAGUGCAAAUGAUGGAUAGCACUAGCAAUGCAAGUUAGGAUUAGAUUGAAGAUUUCUCAUUUUUUUAUGAACUUCAAUGCUUGGACAUGUAAUAGUUUGAUUGUUAUUUAUGUUUUGUUUUUUGUGAUUGUGGAUUGCUUUAAUUUGAGACUAUGAUAUGUGUUUUGGUAUCAUAUUUUUAAUGUUUUAGAUCUGAAAAAUAGGUGAAAAAUAGGAAAAACAAAAAACAAAAAAAAAAACAGGUUUUUAGCGGGUUCGGCCCGGACCGAACCGGACCCGUUGCUCGGGUUCGGUCCGGUCCCGGGUCGGCCCACUCUCUACUUUCGGUCCGGGUCGGUCCCCUUUUUAAAAAAAUUCGGGUCUACAAACCCGGCGGGUCGGUCCGGGUCGGUCCGGGUCCGACCCUCUGCACACCCCUACCCCGUAGGACACAGAUACGACCCCACAUAAGAAAAGGUGAUUGUAUUCGCUUAUUAAAAAGAAAAUCUAUUUUUCUAAUAAAAAAGGUGAGUCUCUAAAAAACCCAAUUUAGCUUUUAACAUUCUUCACCAGUGCAGAUGAACAAUACAUUAUCGAGUCAACAGAAAUACCACGCCGCCCCAAAGUAAUACUUCCCACCCUUCUAGAAUUGACAAAGAGCAAUAAAUUAACAUACUCUUUAUCAUAAAUUUAUUUAAUUAUUGUUGAUUACAAUUUGCAAUAUCUCCAACAUUUGACAAUGAGGCAAAAUAGAUCACUUUUUUUUUAGAACGUGCAAAUAGAACACUUUUAAACAUAUAUGUCACGAGUUGCAUAUGAACUCAACGUUUGACUUUCAAGCUAAUUAUAUUUUCUAUAUCUAUAAUUUAAGAUUCUUCAUGAGCAUGAUUUAUGAUGUUCUAGAUUACGGCAUAUAUCAUGCUUCCCCAUUUAUAUUUCAGCUAGCAGGCCGAUAAGUAAACGCUGUUUUAUAAUUUGAAGCCCAAUAAUACGCAUAUUUAAUCCAAUCGGUGUUUUAAUUAUUGAAAAUAAAUAAUAUGAGUACGAAAAUGUGAGUUUUCCCUGAACAUGGAUUACGAAAUACAAUAAUGAUUAAUGCGCUUACAUACUAGAAACCUAUGUCCUGAAUCCCUACUUGCUAAAACUCUAUUAUAAUGUGUAUAAUAAUAACUAAAUAUUAAUUAUUGAAAGCUUUAUUAAUUAAAAAUAGCAUUUAAAGUAUCUAGUAGUAUACGUCCUUUCCACAAUAAGUUAUAAGUNAGUAUAUUUGCCUCCUGAACAGCGGGAGGUGGGGCCUCAGUGCCCUGCAGGUUGGCUGCUCCCACUGGGGUAGUCGCAGUAGGGAUGACGGACAUCAUGGGGGUUCCCAAUGCCUGCCGCAUGUUAGCAUAGCUGAGCAAGGCCAUCAUUUGCUCUGCUAGCCCAAAGUUGAUCGAUCCUCCUCCAGACGCGGGAGCCAGAUUCGGCAGAUCAGAACCCGGUGUGACCAAAGCAAACCUCUGUGCGCUGACAUUCAGCCCUGUUGUCGGCGUGGCUGAGAUAGCCUGGAAUCCCGGUGGCACUGUGAAAGUAGGAUUGCCCUGAAGGCCAGUGAACAACGAGGUGGGCACCUCAGUAGUGACAGCAGCGGAGUCAAACUCCUUCUCCAAGUUCCGGUGAGCAUCAGAGGAUCCCAUGGUACCUGCAUGUAAAUAGAGUGAGAGAAAAAUCCCAACGACGAAAGCAUAAAUCCCCCAUUUACGGAUUGAAGUCCCGAUAUAAGAAAUCCAAUAAGAAAUCCCCGAUACCGGUACAGAGACCGUUAAUAAAUUCCCUCAAGGUGACGCUUAUGCACUGGGAAAUAAACCCAGGUCAUAAAUCUAAAGAACAGAACCCGCGUAAAGGAGUUUUUCCCAGGUGAAACCUCAUUAAGAACCGACGAAAAAACAGAGCACCAAGAAAACCAAAACAACCAUCAAAAGGCUUGUCAGCGCAAUUCGUUAGAAAUGAUAGAUAAACAAGAGUUAUGUAAGGAAACGAACAUCAUAACCCAAAAUUAACAUGAUCAUGUCCUAUAAUAAUAACAAAGCCCAUAAACAACAGGAUUACCGCGGCAAUCAACCAAAUUAGUAGCAUAAGGCAGUAUUUAAUGCAUAAGACGAGAGUUAAUCUAAGCAAGCAUGAAGGACAUUAACAAUUAUCCACCCCUCAGUAGCUCAAAACUCCAUUAUAACAACAACAAAGCACUAAUCGACGUAUUAAUCGGUGCUAAACUCGUGAAUUAACAACGAAAAGGUUCAUGAAAAAAGAGACAAAGUGCUAAACAAUCUUUCAUCAGUGCGAAACUCCUAAUUAACAACCAAACCUCGCAUCCUCCCAAAAACAGAGUAAUACUCAACAGCCCACAAGCAUAAUUCUGAGAUUAUCGGAGAAAACAUGAAGAUCCUCCACAACUAUCACGUUUAUACGUAAAACACCCGUAUACUAAUAGCAUAAACUCAAGAUAUCAGAGACACAAGGUCAAUCCGCCGUUCAUCGAUGCAAAACACUAGAUCCGUAAGAAAAAAGCACCCGACAUAAUCAAAACAGAGCCUCACGCCACAAUUUUCCCAUAUAAAACAUUAGAUCAGUGAAGAAAACAUCAAUUCUACAAGGAAACCCUUCGUCCGUAAACAAUUAACCCAAACAAACGGUGAAUAAACGUAGAAUUCCCCGAUUCAUAAUUUGUACCCGUCGCCACCUUUUCCCAUGCACCAAAAACAUAAAUCAACGCAAAUCACAGCAGAUUAUCAGUAUAUUAAACCAGAAGAUGCAAUUAACCGAUUAAAAACAGCUGGGUGUCCGAAUUAUCGGCUCGAUUGGUGCCAACGCCCGCAAAUCCGAUUGGAAUUUCAGAUCUGCGUACGCCGGCGACCGUGAUCUCACGUCCUAGCCCAGUAACCUUCCCACAGACGGCGCCAGUUGGUGUUUUAUGAAACCAACACCUAAAACUACAAAGUGAAAUCAUAAACUAUACCUAGUGCGAUUGACUGAAGAAGACGAAAAAUGAACGAUCGAAAACUUUGCACUCAAGAGAAAUAGCUGUUCUGCUCAAAAGUAUAAGAUAGCGUAAAUGUAAUACACGAAUUGAGGUCUAUUUAUAGAUUACAAUUGAGGGUAAAAAGGUAAAAUCGAUGCUAGUGCAUGCGUUUGACGUGAUUGAAGGGUAUAUCAGGAAUUUCAUCUUCACGCGGGAAAAUCCUCCGCGUCUUUGGCGAUCCUUCUGAAAGAGGCGAUCUCUCUGGCACGGAUGACUUCCCUGGCGUGGAGGACUUCUCUGACGUGGAUGACUUCUCUGACGUGGAUGACUUCUCUGGCGUGGAGGACUUCUCUGGCGAUGGUGACUUCUCUGAUGGGGAUGACUUCUCUGAUAAGGGUGACAUCUCUGAUGGAAUUGACUUCUCUGGUGAGUGUAUCUCUUCUGCCAUAUUCGUCCCGCCAGUGAGGUCGAUUCCUCUGAUUUGUAUUCUUUCCCUACUCUGCACAUAUUACUCCUCAUCACAUAUAUACUGAUGAACAUGGCCGUAUAUACUGAUGAACAAUGCAGUAUAUACUGAUGAAUAACAAAAUUUAAAAUAUUCUGCUCCCUCCAGGAUUCGAAUCCUGCGAAAAAAAAUCACCAUCCAGAUACAAUAUCAGCCAUAGGAUUGAUAAAAUAAACGCACCAGAUUGUGCCUUAGAUCUCACUAAAAUUAAGGGUAGGUACUAAUUAGGUAGGACGGCCCCCUAUAUAUAUAUAUAUAUAUAGAUUCAAUUCAAACUCAUUACUCCAAAAUCUAAUCGUUGUUGACUUUUAUUUGAGUCAGUGCUUAAUAGACUUGCUAAUUUUUAAUUUUAGUCUCCAGCAGAGGUAAUCUAAAAUUCUAAAUUAUGUCCCGUGGUUUAUGAGUUUGUGAUUUGUAUUUUGUGUACUAAAAAAAAGUUGGUCCUAACUACAAAGUCUACAAUCUCCCGUUUGGUCUCCUUUUCAGCGGUAAUUUCGUGUUUGUGGCCACCACAAUCCACAAUAUUCACCGAAUGCAAUUUUUUACGAAUUUUCACGAUUAUAUAGUCCAAACUAUUCUUUAAUUUGGGACAACAUCCACACCUUCUUAAUAUAAUCAAAACGAACAUGACAAGUAGAUCUCACCAAACAAUUGCCGUUAAAUCUCUCCUAUCUUCUUAUUAAAUUCUCACCAUCAUAACUCCUAAACUUAAUUUUUUGCAGGUAAUCAAAUAAUAAUCAUUUCUCGAAUCAAACUUGGUAUUUCAAAUAUGCCUUAAAUAUUACCUGAACUCUGAUUUUGUUAACCCGAAAACAUAUGCAAUACAUUCCUUUUAUCCUCUAUCAUGAUAAUUUUUAGUGUAAGGUUUUAAUAGAAUUUCACAAUUAAUUUUACAGUAUGGAAUAUAGGGGUGAACAAAACAUUUGAAAUUUGAAUAUUUCAUUCAAACUAAAUCAAAAUUUUAAAUUCAGUUAGAUUCUUUUCUAAUUUUAAAUAGAUUCUGAACAAAUUGAGUUUGAUAUUAUUGAAUCGGUCUGAUUUUGUAUAUUUUGAAAAAAAAUUCAAAAUUCUUCGACUCAGAUUGAAUUUAAAUCAUAAAAGUUUUGAAUUUAGAUUUUUGAAUUAUAUAAUUCGAAUCAAAUUCAUUUUCCUCCAAAAUUCAAAUUUGUAGAUCGAUUCGAAUUAAGCAAAAGUAGAGGUGAGCAUCGGUUCGGUUCGGUGCAAAACCGAACCAAAAACUCAAAACCGAAAACCGAACCGAUGGUUAAAAUUGGAACCGAACCGAAACCGAACCGAUAAAACCAUCGAUUUUGGUUCGGUUCACCGAACCGAAUGAUGCAAUUUUUUUUAUUUUAUUUUUUUCAAAAAUACCAAUUAAAAAUUAUAAAAUAAUGUAAAAUACAUAAAUUUCAAAUGUCAAAUCCCCACGACAUGAACAUGAUAAAUAAUUAUAUAUUAUAAUUGUGAAUUAGGGUUUUAGUUUUAGGUUAAAAAAUUAGAAAAAUAAUUAUAUAUUAUAAAAUAAUUAUAUAUAAUAAAAUAUUAAUAUGUAUCGGUUCGGUUCGGUUUAAAACCGAACCAAAAAAUGGAAACCGACACCAAAUCGAAAAAUUUCGAUUUUUACUUUUCAAAAUCGAAUCAAAAACCAAACCAAUAGAAUUGGGACCAAAUCGCACCAAUCCAGUUCGAUUCGAUUCGGUUUUCAGUAUCGGUUCGAUUUCUGCUCACUCCUGAGCAAAAGAAGCGAAAUCCGAAUGCUGAAGACUAACGGAAUAUACCUAGCAUCAUUAUUGGUAGUAUUUGAGAGCAGCGGUUUGUUAGGUGGCUCAAGCAAAAGUAAAACCGCCUUGUAACGUGGGCCUACCCUUUUUCCCAUUUGUUGUUUUUGACCCUCUCACCAACCAACUGGCGCUUCACUAAUCUUGAUCUUCUAAUGCAAUUUCACUAUCCCCUUCGAUUUACUCUUAAUUACACAAAUUACCAUAAUUACAAAACUGCCCUUCAUCAAUAAAAUAAUGAGAAUAAAGCUAACGAACACGUCGGUGUCCACUUGAUUUUGGAAAGCUAGCGUUUAUUAUCCUAUUUUUGUGUUCCAUCAAAAAAUGUAUCCUAUUUUGUGCCAAUUGUUUAAGAUAGAGAACGAGAAUAUAACUCCACAGCAUCAGAAAAAGGACGCAAUAUCUUGUCUUUGUGAAAAAUAAAAAUAGAAUAUUUGAGUGAUGUAGAUUUGCUAAAAAAUGAACCUGAUAUCCCACUUUUUGCAAAUUUAGUUGAUGGGCUUCAAUUGUUUUAUCUGUGUUCUUUUGUUGUAGAUAAGUUAUAUUUACUCUUUCAAUAUAAACAAAUACUUGCUCUGUCCACGAUAUAAUUUAAAAUAUGUGGACGACACGAGUUUUAAGAAAUGUAUGGAGUAUAGUGUGAAUAGUUUAAGGGUCCCACUUUUUGAGUGUAUUAAUUAAAGAGAUGUGUGGGGUACACUUACCAAAAAGGGAAAUGGGUACUCAUUUUGUGGACGGACGAAAAAGGAAAUAUGGGUACUCAUUUCGUGGACGGAGGGAGUAUAAAACUUGAUAUGUCCCCGAUAUAAUUUAAAAUAUAUCAUAGUAUUGUUUUAUAUGACGAGUUUAAUCAAGUCGAGAAAAUAAUAUAAAAUGAGUUUAAUACAUACAAGGGCCCUCUCAAAAAACAAAAAACAUACAAUGGCAUUAUUGAAUAAGUAAUUUAAUACGUGUAAUACAAUGACAUUUUAUUUUACUUGAUCAAUUUUUUUUAAGGUCGUCCUCUUCCCAUUCGACUUUAUAUAUAUAUUUUUAAUAAUAAAUUUCAUUGUAAUCUAUAUGAGCCAACAUACUUUACACUAUUAAAUAAUCGUGUCAAAUAUAAUUAGGUCAAUUGAGAUGGAACGAAAAAAGUACUCCCUCCGUCCCCAAAAUAAGUUCCUCUUUGGGGACGGCACGGAUUUUAAGAAAAAAUGGUAAAGUGUAUUGAUAGUGGAGAAAAAUAUGUUAUAAUUAGUAUUGGGAGUGGUGAAAAGGUGAAAAAGUGUUAUAAUUAGUAUUGAGAGUGGUGAAAUAGUGAAAAGUAAGAAUAAAUAAAGUAUUAUUAGUGGUGGGGUAGUUGCCAAAAAUGGAAAGAAAGAAAGAGGAACUUAUUUGGGAGACGUCCCAAAAAGGAAAAAGAUGAACUUAUUUCAGGGACGGAGGGAGUAUAACAUUUGAAUCAGUACACAACGAUAAAAUAAUUUCAAUUUAUUAUAGUAAUUUUCAUUUAAUUUUUUCGAUCUUAGAUUUUAUAGGUAAUUAGGAUAUCAGGUGACAAUUUUUUGUAACAUCUGCAAGCUAAAGUCGGUUUAUUGCAAAAAAUUGUGAGCCUAAAUCUCAGUAAAAUUAAGUAAAAGUAAAAUAUAUUCCCUUCUUAAAAAAAUCUAUGAAAAAUGAGGAUAUUUCAUUAAUCACUCUAGGCCCAAAAAUAUAAGAGGGUUAAAAUAGUCAAAUUAAAUGAGUUUGCUUGGAGGAGGGGUCGAAGAUGUGGGCGAAAUUAUCGAUGAAUCAAUACCCCCUCCCCCAUGUUAUAAAAUCCCUACCCCCACCCCUUUCUACACAUCUUCCACCAAAGUCUCAUUUCUGUCUGCGUUUUUCAUUUCUUCCCUUUUUCUUCACUUAAUACAUUGAAGCUGCAACCAUGACUGCCUACCGCGGAAAGUACGCUGGUAAGAUUUCCGGUCUAUUAAGCUUCUUUUGCUCUUUUUCUAACCGUAGUUUUAGUUUAUAUUAGUGGAUCUAGGAUAAUUAUGCUAAUUUGAUAUGUUUUAUUUUGUUGAUUCAUCAGAUCUGAAAUCCUGCGCUUUAUUAAGCCUACUUUUCUGAAUUCUAUCAGUAAAUCUGAUAGUAUACUGUUCUGUUUAGUCUGGUGUAGUGGUUUGUUAUAGUUAACUUUUAAUCAUGUGUAGUUUAUACCGAGUAUGACUUCUAUGGUGUGAAGUGGAUUUAAGUGUAUAUCGUCUAUUUCUUAGUCUGAUUGGUAAGAUAUUGCUUUGAUUGUUGUUCAUAGUUGAUUUAUAGUUUUUUUUAUUUACUAAACCGUGCUUUAUACUAGUGUUUAUUCAGCGAUCCAAAGCGUUAUAGACAAAAAGUUGUCAGAUUCUUUUGAGUAUUUGUUCUUUAGAUGAAGUUGCUGUUGAUCUCUUAUUUAUUUUGUUUUCUCGUUGCCUUAUACUCUUAAUUCUUCGAUCCGAAGUUUUUGUGUAGACAUUUUUUUAUCAACGUUUAUUAUCUUUCUUAUUAAACAUGCUGUUUCGUUAUUUGUACUUUGAUCUGUUUAUGGUGUUGGUUUUAUGUUAAUAUCUUUGAAAUUACGCUGCUAAAUUUGGGUAUGUUCAUUCGUGCUGGUUUUGAUCGCAGUUGAUCUUUUGGAUCUGUCAUAGGAAUCUUGUAGGCUUGAAUAGUAAUCAAUUUAUUCUGUUGUGAGUAUAUAUCCGCAAUGUCGUACUUCAUGUUAUGGCUUGAUUUUAUGUUUUGUUUGGAGAUAUUUUGCUGGUUUGUAUAUUCCUCUCCUGCAUUGUUUAAAUGAUGUUUGAUUUACAGAUGAGCUUAUUGCCAAUGCUUCAUACAUUGGUACCCCUGGGAAGGGUAUUCUUGCUGCUGAUGAAUCAACUGGAACAAUUGGCAAGCGUUUAUCGAGCAUCAAUGUUGAGAACAUUGAGGCUAACAGGAGGGCUCUACGUGAACUUCUUUUCUGCGCUCCUGGUGCCCUUCAAUACCUGAGUGGUGUGAUCCUUUUUGAGGAAACUCUGUACCAGAAAACUGCUGCAGGUAUGCAUCAUUUUUUAAAUUGUAAUUGUAAUUGUAACUAUGUUUGAAUUACUCUUUUGCCUUUUGAAGAUAAUUGAUCUUAUAUUUAUGUUUGUGGUCUUGUAGGCAAGCCUUUUGUAGAUGUAUUGAAUGAGGGCGGUGUUCUUCCUGGUAUCAAGGUCGACAAGGGUACCGUUGAGCUUGCUGGAACCAAUGGUGAGACUACCACCCAAGGUCUUGAUGGCCUGGCCCAGCGUUGCCAACAAUACUAUGCUGCUGGUGCUCGUUUUGCUAAAUGGAGAGCUGUGCUGAAGAUUGGUGCCAAUGAGCCAUCACAGCUUGCUAUCAACGACAAUGCCAAUGGUCUGGCACGUUAUGCCAUCAUCUGCCAGGAGAAUGGCUUGGUACCAAUUGUUGAGCCCGAGAUCCUUGUGGAUGGCUCCCACGACAUCAACAAGUGUGCUGAGGUGACAGAGCGUGUUCUUGCUGCUUGCUACAAGGCCCUCAACGACCACCACGUACUGUUGGAGGGAACAUUGUUGAAGCCCAACAUGGUCACACCCGGCUCUGAUGCUCCCAAGGUUACCCCCGAGGUGGUUGCCGAGUACACCGUCCGUGCCUUGCAACGAACAAUGCCCCCUGCAGUCCCGGCUGUUGUCUUUUUGUCUGGUGGACAGAGUGAGGAAGAGGCCACCCGCAACCUCAACGCCAUGAACAAGCUGAAGGCAAAGAAGCCAUGGACCCUCUCUUUCUCGUUCGGACGUGCUCUACAGCAGAGCACCCUAAAGGCAUGGGCCGGCAAAGAGGAGAACGUCGGAAAGGCUCAGGCUGCAUUGCUUACAAGGUGCAAGGCCAACUCAGAAGCAACACUCGGAACCUACAAGGGUGACAGCGCUUUGGGCGAGGGUGCCGAUGAGAGCCUCCACGUUAAGGACUACAAGUACUAGGUUCAGUUUUUUGGCUUCCCUUAGAUUUUCUCGG